Molecule: ribosomal RNA, 483 nt
Filed under: uncultured bacterium
Lineage: Bacteria
Description: bacterial SSU rRNA
Rfam family: Bacterial small subunit ribosomal RNA
Source: RNAcentral
GAUGAACGCUGGCGGCGUGCUUAACACAUGCAAGUCGAACGAAGCACUUAAUGAGAUUUCUUCGGAUUGAUUAUUUUGUGACUGAGUGGCGGACGGGUGAGUAACGCGUGGGUAACCUGCCCCAGACCGGGGGAUAACAGUCGGAAACGACUGCUAAUACCGCAUAAGCGCACAGUGCCGCAUGGCACGGUGUAGAAAAACUCCGGUGGUCUGGGAUGGACCCGCGUCCGAUUAGUUAGUUGGUGGGGUAACGGCCCACCAAGACUGCGAUCGGUAGCCGACCUGAGAGGGUGACCGGCCACAUUGGGACUGAGACACGGCCCAGACUCCUACGGGAGGCAGCAGGUGGGGGAUAUUGCGCAAGUGGGGGCAACCCUGACGCAGCAACGCCGCGUGAAGGAUGAAGGUUUUCGGAUUGUAAACUUCUUUUAUUAAGGACGAAACUUGACGGUACUUAAUGAAUAAGCUCCGGCUAACUACGUG